AGUGAAUAGAUACCCUGGUAGUCCUAGCCGUAGACGAUACUCGCUAGGUGUCGGCCACGGUGCGACCGUUGUCGGUGCCGUAGGGAAGCCGUGAAGCGAGCCACCUGGGAAGUACGGCCGCAAGGCUGAAACUUAAAGGAAUUGGCGGGGGAGCACCACAACGGGUGGAGCUUGCGGUUUAAUUGGAUUCAACGCCGGAAAUCUUACCGGGACCGACAGCGAUAUGAAGGCCAGGCUGAAGACUUUGCCGGAUUAGCUGAGAGGUGGUGCAUGGCCGUCGUCAGUUCGUACUGUGAAGCAUCCUGUUAAGUCAGGCAACGAGCGAGACCCACGCCCACAGUUGCCAGCGUACUCUCCGGAGUGACGGGUACACUGUGGGGACCGCCGCUGCUAAAGCGGAGGAAGGAAUGGGCAACGGUAGGUCAGUAUGCCCCGAAUAUCCCGGGCUACACGCGAGCUACAAUGGUUGGUACAAUGGGUAUCUAUCCCGAAAGGGUAUGGUAAUCUCCUAAAGCCAGCCUUAGUUCGGAUUGAGGGCUGCAA
This 543-nucleotide ribosomal RNA is filed under the name uncultured bacterium. Its description in RNAcentral is "bacterial SSU rRNA". It matches the Rfam family "Archaeal small subunit ribosomal RNA", at positions 725 to 1266 of the family's 1478-position model. The record is from RNAcentral.